Molecule: ribosomal RNA, 441 nt
Filed under: uncultured bacterium
Lineage: Bacteria
Description: bacterial SSU rRNA
Rfam family: Bacterial small subunit ribosomal RNA
Source: RNAcentral
GUGAGGAAUAUUGCUCAAUGGGCGAAAGCCUGAAGCAGCGACGCCGCGUGAGGGAUGAAAUCCGUUAGGAUGUAAACCUCUUUUAUAAGGGAAGAAUAUUCCGCUCGGCGGAAUUGACGGUACCUUAUGAAUAAGCACCGGCUAACUACGUGCCAGCAGCCGCGGUAAUACGUAGGGUGCGAGCGUUGUCCGGAAUUACUGGGUGUAAAGGGUCCGCAGGCGGGCAAAUAAGUCAGAGGUGAAAUGCUUCGGCUCAACCGAAGAAAUGCCUUUGAUACUGUUUGUCUUGAGUUCGAGAGAGGAUAGUGGAAUUCAUGGUGUAGCGGUGAAAUGCGUAGAGAUCAUGAAGAACACCAGUAGCGAAGGCGGCUAUCUGGCUCGAUACUGACGCUCAGGGACGAAAGCGUGGGUAGCAAACAGGAUUAGAUACCCCAGUAGUCC